Molecule: ribosomal RNA, 497 nt
Filed under: uncultured bacterium
Lineage: Bacteria
Description: partial 16S ribosomal RNA
Rfam family: Bacterial small subunit ribosomal RNA
Source: RNAcentral
GAUGAACGCUGGCGGCGUGCCUAAUACAUGCAAGUCGAGCGAACAGACGAGGAGCUUGCUCCUCUGACGUUAGCGGCGGACGGGUGAGUAACACGUGGAUAACCUACCUAUAAGACUGGGAUAACUUCGGGAAACCGGAGCUAAUACCGGAUAAUAUUUUGAACCACAUGGUUCAACAGUGAAAGACGGUCUUGCUGUCACUUAUAGAUGGAUCCGCGCCGCAUUAGCUAGUUGGUAAGGUAACGGCUUACCAAGGCAACGAUGGUUAGCCGACCGGAGAGGGUGAACGGCCAGACGGGAAGAGAGAAACGGCCCAGACACUGAGGGUGGGAAGCGGUAGGGAAUCUUCCGGAAAGGAGCAAUGCCGGAUGGAGCACCGCGGGGGGAGUGAAGAAGGUCUUCGGACGGUAAAGUUCUGUAAUAUGGGAGUAAGUAAUGUGUAAUUAACUAGGAACGUCUUGACGGUACCUAACCAGAAAGCCCCGGCUAACUACGUG